CACGUGAGCAACCUGCCCCUGACUCUGGGAUAAGCGGUGGAAACGCCGUCUAAUACCGGAUAUGACCUGCCACCUCAUGGUGGCGGGUGGAAAGUUUUAUCGGUCAGGGAUGGGCUCGCGGCCUAUCAGCUUGUUGGUGGGGUAACGGCCUACCAAGGCGAUUACGGGUAGCCGGCCUGAGAGGGCGACCGGCCACACUGGGACUGAGACACGGCCCAGACUCCUGCGGGAGGCAGCAGUGGGGAAUAUUGCACAAUGGGCGAAAGCCUGAUGCAGCGACGCCGCGUGGGGGAUGACGGCCUUCGGGUUGUAAACCUCUUUUACCACCAACGCAGGCUCCGGGUUUUCUCGGGGUUGACGGUAGGUGGGGAAUAAGGACCGGCUAACUACGUGCCAGCAGCCGCGGUAAUACGUAGGGUCCGAGCGUUGUCCGGAAUUAUUGGGCGUAAAGAGCUCGUAGGCGGCAUGUUGCGUCUGCUGUGAAAGACCGGGGCUUAACUCCGGUUCUGCAGUGGAUACGGGCAUGCUAGAGGUAGGUAGGGGAAACUGGAAUUCCUGGUGUAGCGGUGAAAUGCGCAGAUAUCAGGAGGAACACCGGUGGCGAAGGCGGGUUUCUGGGCCUUACCUGACGCUGAGGAGCGAAAGCAUGGGGAGCGAACAGGAUUAGAUACCCUGGUAGUCCAUGCCGUAAACGUUGGGC
This 700-nucleotide ribosomal RNA is filed under the name Nocardiopsis valliformis. RNAcentral's name for it is "bacterial SSU rRNA". It matches the Rfam family "Bacterial small subunit ribosomal RNA", at positions 114 to 814 of the family's 1533-position model. Lineage: Bacteria; Bacillati; Actinomycetota; Actinomycetes; Streptosporangiales; Nocardiopsidaceae. The record is from RNAcentral.